Coturnix japonica (Japanese quail) is the source of this 16143-nucleotide non-coding RNA. NCBI's taxonomy places the organism in Eukaryota, Metazoa, Chordata, Aves, Galliformes, Phasianidae. The record is from RefSeq and is a predicted model, not a curated record.
UUGGUCUGUAAAAAGACAAAAAAAAGUUUAAAAAACAACCCCACUAGAUUUAAAAAUAAACAAAACAAAAAAGCUUCUGCUUUACGAUAAAAGAUUCCAAUGUUUUCUUUUCAUUCCCAUCAAUCACAACCUGACCAUUUUUGCUGUCUGUGAUAACCAGAGAAAAGCACGUACAGUGCUGAUUCAGAGCCCGGGACAGGUGUGUUCUUGGAGCUGUUUUUCAAAGCAUGUUGGUGAGCUGAAGCCACAAACUACAACGUCCUGCACCUGCAGUAGGAUAGAAACCAAGGGCCCGCCUGCUUUCUCUGUGAGUUCCAGGUAAGCAGCACUUGAAACAGAACUGGGAAAGAGCAAAUACCAGGAUAAGAGCAAUUCAUCAGCGCUUGUCCAGAAUUUUCUUAGACUUUCAUCCCCAAAACAGCUGAAAUUAGGAUCUAUCUGGCAAAAAAAAAAAAAGGCACUAUCCCUUAGUUUGCCACAAGAUGUCACUGUGCUCUGUGGAGAUGGGAACACUGGGAUUCUACGCUUAUCUCUCAGCCCCUUCAAAAUACACCAUGCCCAAUGUUUUAAAAUACAUCUUAUGAAGCAUUACAAAUCAACACUAGGUCAAAUUCAGGGGUUUGAGUCGGUGCCAUCAUCGAAUGAGAUGACAAAGACUCCUGAUUUCAAGACUGUGUCAGUGAGAGCUGGAUUCCCCUUCAGGAUCCAGGACUGGAAAGGGACAGAUCCGGUUCUGUUGGUACAGACACACCCUGUGCACAGCAUCCUCCUGCAUAAAUUCUGAGCUCAGUGCGGUGCUCAAAGGCUCUCCCUUUGUGGGGAGAGGCCUUGAAUUAAAGCUCGUUUCCCAGGUUAAUUCAACAGGAAAUGGCAAAAAAAAGCAGCAAUGCAUCUUGUCCGAUCACAAACCACACCCAGGUACAGCUUCCUGCAAACAGUAACUCCAACUUUCUUUUGGCCUUCUACCUCCCGCUCCCUCAGAGGAAUCUGUAGCAAGUUGAAGCUGUUUGUAUUUUAUUAAGCCUUUGUCCGAACUGUCACAGUGACUCCUGAAACCACAAUGCCAAAAUGAGACAGUGUGCUACAACGAGAAGCUUCAGCUAUUAACUAUUCCAUUCGCAAAAGCUGUAUUUUCACUGCUGAUGAAAUCUGCACUUAACAAUUCUUAUUCUCAGUGUCAAUGACAGGAAGGUGCUCAGGAACUGCUUACAGCACAGAUCCCUGCAGGCCGGGCCGUAUGGAAGCAGAGGAAAAACAAAGAUUACGGCAAAUUAGCAGUUGUGAACCAUUGAUGCGUUAUAUGUGCCCAAGUCCAUAAUGCUUUAUGGCACGCCACGGAGAAGGGAAAAGGCUGCAGCCAUAAAAUACAGCUCCUCUCUGACUCUACCAAACCUGGGCAGCCACACUCAGCUCAUCUGUUUUUCAGCUACUUCCACAGAGAAAUGGGGACAGAGACACCUCAGAGCCAGCUGUAAUGUACAAGAAAUGGCUGCUGCUCUCCAAACUCUUCUGCCGUUUCCUCCUAAAAAUAAACCCCGUGCAAUCAAUCCCGAUUGUUUGACGGCGCAGACGAGGACGUCGAGAGCUGCAAUUAGCACAGUAAGUACAGCACAGAGCGCUCAUCAAUUAAUGGUGCCACAUUACUGCUUCAUAAUGAAAAUAAUUCAGGAAAUGUGGAAAGACAGAAAAUGACUCCAGGAAAUGUAGUUUAUACGCUCAUUAGAUAAUUAUUUAUAUUUCUAUUAGAUGUGGUUUCUCAGACGAAUGAUUUAGUGAAGUAUUUCUUAAAUACACGCUCAUUAAAGCUUUUCUUCUACCUGGGUCCCCCGGUUCAUUUCCAUCUGUUUUCAAUAGAUGGAAAAGUUUCAGAUUUAAGAGGAUUGAGCCUUUUGGAACGCAAUGAGAAAUGGAAUCACUUGCUGUGGGAAAAAAGGAAUUCCUGCUCUUGUUAAUGGCUCAGCCCUCAGCACCUUUCUGUGCAGAGUACUUCAUUUUCUUCUGGAUGCCUCAGUGCUCUUAAAGAGUCAUUACAUUUGAACAGGUCUUCCUGGAUCCUACCUAUCGUCCACCCCUCGCUUUAGUCCUGGCUUUAUUCUAACAGCUGCUCCGACAUGACUGCACGAAUAAGAAAAAACUUGGAGCAGAAACCUGUAAGAAAGUUAUGAUGGCCUGAUUUGAACAAAAGCACUUGUUUUAUUUGUUUGGGAUAGUUUAGAAUGAAGGGUCUGUGUUUUUUUUUCAGCGUCUCACGCAUACUGCCAUUGCCUUAACAUGUGUCUUAGUACCUCGAGGUUCACUGUUUCGUUAUUUCCUAAAUUCAAGUCGUUAGGAACUGUCUCCAGGUUAAAAAUAAAACAAAAAUAAUACAGAAACUACUUGGCAGCGACGCUUAGCUUCAGGAUUUCAACUUUUCAACAAGCGCAGGGUGGCUGUGGCAAUACAGAAUAACAGUAACGUUCCCGUGUUAGUUAGAAUUCUGAGCCGAAACGAGGGCCUUGCUUUGUGCUGUAAAUGUGCAGUUCCUGCGUGACUGAGCAAGCAGCUGGAGGAGCCGGGGUGCAGGGAAGGAGAUGGAAGCCGGCGGCUGAAGGAUGGGGGCAACGCAAGACACACAGUGGGUCUGCUGUGAUGCAGAGGCUGGGAGGAAGGCCGGCACUUUGGGGUAGAACAGUAACAUCCCUGUUCUCCUCAUAAAGCUGACUGCACGGAUCUGAAAAUUUAGAGAACAUCCGAAGGGCUUUCAUGUUAAACAGCUCUUAUUUGAAUUUUUACAAGAAGUGAAUUCAGGGUGGCAUUCUUAAAUGUUAUCAAUGUCACGUUUCAGUGCUCUUGAAUGUGUUCUGCAGUGAAGAGGUAUUCUGAAUGAAGCGACUACUCCAAAGCAGCCACGUGUAAUUAGCAAUUCUAUAUGACAUAUCUUCUGUUCUCUGGCACGUAGCUACCAUUCCCGGAGUGUACCUGGAGCACCGAGGGCAAUGCACCCUUACUGCAAAGCAGAUGAGAUUGAAGUAUCCGUCCCUGUGAACAGCAGCUGCUUCUGGAGCACUGCGGCGCUGUGGAGGGAGAGCUGUCUGGAAACAAGAAUUCACUGAAUCUUCGUAUGUCGAAGAAAUCGCCUUCUUCACUCCACCAAAAUAAGUCUUAUGGUGACGCUGGUGACUCCAUCCGCAGGGAUGGCAAGUGCUCGUUCUCUCUUGUGGUCUAACUGUGUAUCCAGGAUACCUGGCCUGGUUAUAAAGUGUCACACCAGCAAGAUGGUCCUUUGAACAUCGGCUGAGACAAACAGGUAAUUCAUGUUCUAGACAUGGCACAGGAAGAAAAUGCAAUUUCUGGUUCUCAUGCAGUUCCUUUCAUCCACACAGAUGAAACUCUCACCACAUUCUAAGGGCAGUCUAAUAUGGACUUGGCCUUUUACCCUUUCCUUGGAAGCAACUUGCACUCUCACCAGAGGAAAUAGGCCAUUCCAGUGCACAGGUCAUCACCCCUGCCACUCAGAAACAGCAGUUUUCAACAUUCCUAGAAAGCGUCUUUUGGGGAUUUUACAAUAACUUUACUAGCUGGAUUCCUUCAAGGUAGAUUUCUGGAGGUUCAAUAUAAUACAUCUGUAUUCAGGUGUAACUGAAUCAUCUUGAUAACUCGUGAACUGCCAUUAAAACAACUUCCAGGUAAUUAAUCUCCUACGGGCGACUCUACUUGUACUGAACAAGUUUCCAGGUUAGGAAGAAAGGAUGCAGUUGAGAUGAGUCAGUGGCUGCCCUGUCUGCUUACCAUCCUCAGGUAUGAAUUACAGUAUUAUGGUAUUUAAUGCACAGCUGAGAGUACAUCAGUUAAUACUGUUUAACUUUAGUAAUACAAUGUAUGCUCGUAAUUUUACUUGCUUAUUGUUUAUAGUCUCUGAUGGAAGAAAAGAAACAUCUACGGUUACACUUGAUUAUGAACUCAGCGUACCACCACACUUUAUGGAAGACAGACAAUGUACUUUUCCUAUCCCAGAAACAUUUUGCCCUUAAGACAAGCACAGAACAAUGGGGUAGGGACAGUAUACAAGGCUGCAAGAACUGCAGAAGCUGUAGCUCGAGGAAAGCAGAAAGAGAGUGUAUUUGACAAUGAGAAUAAUAAAAUAUUCCAGCUGGUAAAUAUUAAAACAUUCAGAUAUGAUGGUAAAAUUGCAAUGAAUUUAGAUGAUACACUGUAGUAGGAUUUAUAAAAGACAUCAUGACUUCUUUGUUGAAAAAGAAUCAGAUGGCACAACUGGAAAGACUGUCAGUACAAAAAGGAUCUUUUAUAGAGAAAAUGAUUUUAAGCACUCACAUGAAAGAUGGUUGCAUAAAAACAAGAUAUGAUUGCAUAGCUGGAAUAGAUCACAUACAAAGGAGUAGUCAGCUUGUAGUUUGGCAAGGAAAGAAAAGGUGUCAGGCAUGCAAAGUCAAAAUAGCUGUGCUGCCUCACAAUAACCUCGAUGCCAACAGCUACUGGGCUGCACCAGGAAAUGGAAGAAAUACAAACCCACAUAACUUCAAUACAUAAAGAAGACAGAAAGCAUAUAAGUAACUUUACACAUGCACGUUGUCGGUCCAAAUUCAAAUAGAAUUACUCAUGUGAAUAAAACCAGUGAUAGGCGUGAGCUUGCACAAUGUAGCCUAGAUACCAAAGCAAAAGAAAGACCAACUCUUUUGUUACAAAGCCUGGAAAAAUGUUUUGCAAGCUGUUUUCAUAUUCAGGCUCAGAAUGACAGGGUUCAUUUUUGCCUGGCUCCUGGCUUUCUGAGAAAUCCCCACUCCCAGCUACUGUAGUCCAGCAUUCAUCCCAGGCCAGACAUACUCUGGCUUGGGAUUUGGAUGGGUGCAUUUCUUUGUCUUUUGCUGGAUGGAAGGCAUUCUGUCACUUUACGCUCUUUGAGCAUGGAAAAGGGAAUGGGCAAAAUGAGGGAUGUACGGGGAAUGUCCCCGAGUGGAGCACAGCGCCGGCCCCACUGCUGGCCUCAUGUGCUGGAAUCCGCUUCCUUCCUCACACACUCAACCUUUCGUUUCAUACCUUCUGGGUGAUGGCUGUGUGCACUGAGGUGUCUGCUGAGCAUUGCUGCCCUUGCCGCCAGGCCUGUGCCUGCAGCCCCUCUGGGCACUGCCCCUCACCAUGUCGUCUGGAUUUGGGCACAAAACAAAAACAAAACCCCAGCAUAACCACCCUGCUUUGGCUCCAGAGCGAAUCUUGCCCGGCUGGCCCUGGGUCACCCGUCCCUCAGCCCCCCGGCCCAGCUGCCACACGUCGCCCCUGGCGCAGCAUCAGGAGGGGAGCGCUGGGUCGGGCCCGCCCGCAGCUGGAAGGGCUCCGCGCAGCCGCCCAGCCCCGUCCCACCCGGCCGCGAGCCCCCUGCCACCACCACCCCCUUCCUCACCCCACCUCCUUCUCACCUCCCGAACUGCGGCCCGGCCCGGCCCGAGCCUGCGUGGAUGCGGCCGGGGCGGUGCGGAGCGGAGCGGGUGGCUCGGCCCGACGGGCGCGGCCUGGUGGUGGCUCGGGGCGGGCGGUGAGGGGUUGUGGCCGGAGCGCAGCGGGGAGCUCAGUUCUUGGGUGGGAAGGGGGAAGAGUGGAGAGCGGCUGCUUUGUUCUGUUCUCAGCUCACUGCCCUUUAAGGCAGCGUUUAUCUCAGAGCCUCUGCACGAGCUUCAGACUGCAGUUCUGCUGCUCGCUUGGGCUCCCGCCCUUGGCUUUCUAUCUAUGUGCUGUAGCCUCUGUAGUAUCUUUUUUGUUCUCUCUCCACUUCUCCUUCACAGCUACACGAGGUUUCAUAACACCACCAGCAGUGAAACUCCCCACCCACACGGCUUCUCCUUGCCGUGUUGACGUGUUUUCCUGCCCUGGGGUGGAGGUCGCUGCUGCUUUGUUUGUAUGGUGCCUGGAAAGUAGAAGUGUAAUUGCUUUUUCGAGUUAUGGUAAGUGGACACCAAUAGGGACACCCAGCUCAGAGCGAUGCAAAGCGUACGGUCUGGACUGGGUGAAUAAUACAAGCAUCUUCAACUACAAUUUCAUAGAAUCAUAAAAGCGUUUGAAUUGGAAGGAACAUUUGAAGGGCAUCCAGUCCAGCUCCUCUGAACUGAACAGGAUACCUACAGCUGAGUCAGGGUGCUCAGAGCCCAUGUAUGGCAGUGUUGGAGUAUUAUGCUUCUCAGCUUUUCAUGCUAGAGGGCUGUAGGAGCUGUGGAGAGGCUGAUCCGGGGCUUCAGUACGUAACUUUCCCCGUAGCCUCUUAAUUGCCUCCUGCUAGGGACUAAGAACAAGAAAAAAAGAAAGAAAAAAACAAAAAAACCAACAAAAACAAACUCCAAAACAUACCCACACAUCUUUCAUAAAAAGAAGCCUGAGAUCAUUAGCUAACAUUUGGAAGUCCCUCAAAUUAACAUGCGUGAAGGACUGUGGCCAAACUCCCACUGGCUCUCAUAAAAGCAGCAAUCAGUCCUUCAAGCAAGAUUCUCUACAGAAUAACACCCAGAAGCCCCUGCAGAAGGGAUUUGCCAAUCUCACCAUCUGACUAGAUUAAAAACAGCAGUAACAAUGUGAUAAUUGACAGGAGAAACUUCCCUGACAAGGAAUGAAUCAGUGUUUAUUUUUAGCCCUUUCCCCCAAUGCUUUAUUUAAACUAAAGAUUAACUAAUUAUUUCCGUCAUUAUAGCGUCCUCACUAGCAACAGAAGGUGGCGGAUCCUUCUGUGUCUGCUGGUUUGCUGUAGUUCUGUUACUUCACAUGGGCUCAUCCCUUGAGGUCUGCACGAACCCGGAAUGAUGCUCUUGUGCCAGCAUUGAGUUUUCGCUCGGCUUUGCCCCUAGAUGUAGUGCCCCCACAGUCACCGGUUCUGUUUCCUAAACAGUAAGUUUCAAAAAGGGUGUCUGAAAAAGGAAGCUGAUCUUCCGUAUCUCCCACCUUUGCUCCUAAGCUUUUCAUGAAAAGCGAGUCAGUGCUAAUCCUGUCACCGCAUCUGCCCACUGCAGCCUUUUGCAACAGCAGAGCACUCCCAUCCCAAACAGAUGAAGUGCACAGGAGCCAGCUGUAAAACCUUAUCUAAGGGAGGGCAGCUCACCUGAGAAAAGAGCAGCAAGAGAUUUGUCAUAGGAUAAAUACAGGGAAGCUGGUCACGCUACCAGUGACACCGCCUUGUGCCUGGUUCUGCUCAGAGGCUUUUAGCUCCUGCUUUGUUUCAAAGCCGUGGGCUUGAUGUAUUUCUCUUAAAAGUUAAAUUGCCCAUAUUGGAUUCACUAUCAGAAAAUGAAUCGCGUUUUGAAUAUAGCUGAGGGUUAUCUCGCUUUUAUCUGUUGUGGAACAAAGAAAUGUAAGUGGCACUAUUUAGUUUUUCUGCAUAUCUGUAGUGUGAGGAUCACAUCAAAAACAUUUAUGUUUUACUGGUCUCUCUCAGUCCCAGAGCAAUUGCACUACACUAAAUUCUUAGAUAAACUUGGAUCAGUUUUAAACCUAAAGGAUGAAUAUGAUUGUCAGCAUUCAAGUGCUUGUUCUCCAGUGGGAACUGAUCACAGAUAUUAGUGCAAGAGAUGCUUCAGGAUGGAUCCAUACUCAGAAGUAAAAUAUCUUUCCUCUUAUUUUUGCAUCUCCUGAGAAGGCCGUUGUAGAAAUGGCUGCUUGUUGGGAUGAGCUCUCUGUCUUGCAGGUAUUACUUGCAAUGGUGACCACAGAUCCCCACAUAAUGUAAUUUCUGUUUAGAGGCAAGAUGAAUGCAGAAGACCAACAGGAACACACAAUGAUUUAAUCUGUGGGCCAUCAGGCCAAUCAAAUCUAUGAAUCAUUCACAAUCUUUCAUUUGCAUCUGCAUUGCAAGAAAUACAACUAACUAUACAGGGAAACAUUGCAGAUGGGGUUAGAUGAGAUGGGCAAUAAGGUAGGUCAGUAAAAUCUGCAUCAAAUGCAUGUUUGUUAAACCAGAAUUUAUUUUACUGGCUACAGGCCAAGCCCAUAAAGUAAGGGUUCAGGGCAGAACUUGAGCUCCUAAAUCUAAACCAGAGAUGGUGGAAAAACCCAGUGAGCUGAGCUUGACCUUGCACCAGGCCUCAAUUCCCAAGCCAGCUGACAUUUUUUUUUCAGGUAAACUAUUCAGCCAGAGGGAGCCUCUCUGCAAGUGCCCGGAUCUGCUCUGGUUCAGCAGGGCCAGGCAGCUUGGCACUGACGUGGAUCUCAAUUCAAUCAGGAACUAAAAGGAUGUGUCACUCCGCGCAGGUCCCCAGAGCAGCUCAGUUCAAGAAGAUUUCCCUUACCCGUGCUGAGUGUACUCAGAGGCGAAUAUGACAGGAUUCAGAACCCUAUGCCGAGGCAGCCGUUUUCCUGUCAGCUAUGACGAGGAGUGAAAUCAGUUCAACAGACAUUUCUGGGAAAGAAUGGCAACACUGACGUAUUCCUGACCCUGUGAAAUACCUGAUGCAAGUGGGAUCUACUACCGGAGUCAAGAAAAAGAAGUGGGCUGGCAUUUUAAUGAAUGUUUGUUGAAUGGGAAGGUAACAGCUUCUUAAAUCUCUACUUAUCUUUGCCACUGCAAGGUUGUGGUUACAAUCUUACCGCUUUGUAGAUUGAUAGGGCACUACAAAAGAAAUGAAUCUGAAGUUACAUCAGAUUCUGCCUGGGUAGAAGAGAUCUAGGAAAGUUUAACGAUCCUGUACUGGCCCAAGCAUGGGUGAAAAGAGAGUGUACUUUCAGGAAAGGUUGGAGUCCUUGCAUGGACUGUGAGUGAAAAUGGUAGAUGGGAGAGCUGAGAUCCAAGACCUGACGUCCCUCAGGCAUAAGGUCUCUUACUGUGCUGGAAAUCAGCCUGGAAUUCCUUUGCUUUUGCUUCUGCUUUUGUUAGAGUGCCAACAGCAAAAAAGCUGUGACUGCUAAACUCAGAAGACACACAGGAUUUCCCCUCCUGCUGCCCUACUGCUUUGACUUAGGCAGUGAUGGGUACAUAUUUCUAACUAGUGCAGACAGAUACAAAUUUCCUUUAACUAAUCUUCCUCUGGCAAGGUGAGUCAUCAUAUAGAAAAAGUUGUUUCUGCUUGUUCUGUGUUCAGAUCGUGGUCCAGUCCAAGCUCCAAAAAAGACCAAGCCAGUAGCAUUAACAACUCUGACCCUCGUAGUUCUUUCAUAGUACCUGAGGGAAAGCUGGAGAGAUGUCUGUAGCUGCAAGCUUUCUGCAGGGAAUGAUCUUCCUUGGAAAAUACUUUGAAAGAAGCUGGCAAGAAUCCUGCUCUGCAAAGCAAGAGGAGGAGUCCGGCCCUGGCCAGCGUUACCCUGCUCAGAACACUGGAUCUGCUCCUGCCAUCCCCUGCCUGCUGCUCCCUGGGGAACCACGGCUCUGGGACAGGCUCCUUUGGCACGUGUAAGUCCAGAUUUGAUGCUGAAGUCACUGGAAUGGAGUGUGAUCAUGGCUCUUCGUGCAAAGAAACAGCUAAAGCUGAAGGAGGUCAGUAAUGUUGCCUCUAACAGAUUAAUUCCUCUUAUCUUAGAACAAGCACAUCUUAGAAUAUGCUGAGGUUAAAUAACCCAGAUCUUGUAUUCAGGACAUGCUGUAAUAAUAUUAUUCAGAAAUACAGGUAUGCUCUUUAACAGCAUAUAAAGCAGUGAAAGCCAAAUCAGGCACUACUAUAACUAGUGAGGACAUGGCAAAUUCAAACAGGGUCCCAAGUCAAAUAGGAUCCAUUCUUACCAUGUAUUUAUGUCAGUAAUUGGGGUUGCAUUAAAUUCUUGCUUUACCAUCUCUGCAAUUUUCUGCUGUGAGAAAUUUGGGGAACUACUGUUCUGUCAAAGACUGGGUGGGUGGAGACUCUAUUUCCUCUGAGUCAUCAGAGGGAAAAGUCCAUUGCUGCAGGAGUGAAACUUGUGAACAUGACAGCUAGAACUGAAAAAGUCCUCACAACUCAGAACACAUUCAGUCUGUUGAUACAACCUAUUUCAAGUCCAAAGGUGUUAGCACCGCUGCCUUUCAAAUUCGUAAUUCAUCUAUAUUCCCAAAAUAUCAUGUUGCUGUAAUAAUUCUUAUAACAAAACUAUUUAUACAGUACUCCACUGUAAGUAGAAUACUCGCUGCUAGGUAACCUGGCAGUUAUUUAUGCAUGAUAUACAACAGAUUAGAAGAAAGGAAUAAGAUGAUUACCUCAAUCAGGAAUGACUGGACCAACUUUUAUUAUUAUUUUUAGCAGAGCAUGCAGGAAUCUGGCAAGGAAGCCCUGUCUGCACAGGCAGGGGAUGUUGCAGAGGCAGCAAGCUGGGAGCAGGGAAGGAAGGUAGUGCUUCCUGCUGCCUGUUAGCAAGCUUGGAGGAAGGAAAUCAUCCUGCCUCAUCAUGCUAAAUCAGCUAGAGAAUCCCUCAAACACAGUAAAUCCGUUGCUGUACCUUAUUUAGGCAGAUAGACGUUCAAGUCUGUCUAGGAAAGAGAAGCUAUGAUUUUGUAUGUAGGUGUGCAAAGCACUCCCUGAACUUCACUCCUCUGAGCUGCAAGUUGCUCAUCUGCUCAGGGAUGCUCUAAAAGUAAAAACCCAAGGAUUUACCUGUCUUUGUUUUGUUUCCCUUUAUCAAGCACUCUUUAUCUGUUUUCAUCUCUGUAUGCUACGUAAGUAUUUUUAUCACAUCCCAGUAAAAUCCCCCAGCCAAAAAUUAUUUUCUUUUCAGCUGAAUGACUGCUAUGUUCCACUUGUUAAUUGGUGAAAUUCAACUACAUCCUAGCAUAGUGAUCACCCUAUAUAGCAGAGUUUAAACAAUGGCCUGUCUUCUUACACAGAAUCACCAUAUCCCCUAAGCUAAAGCAAUUCACUGAGCUGGAUGGGAACGUCCCAGUUCAUUCAUUUGCAUCUUGUCCAGAAGCUGUCAGUUCCACAGACAGUUUUUCAAAUAUCAGUAUUUUCAAGAACCAACCACUUCUAACCAGAGUCUGUUGUUUUAACCGCUUAGUAGUAGAUUAUGUUGUCUUACAGCAUUUAGACAAAUUGACACAAAUGAUGGCUUAAACAGAUUUAAAGUUGUCAUCCCCAUGGGGCAGCUCUACGCACAAGUUAUUAGCAGCAAUCUUAAAUUACAAAAACACUUGUAAAAGUUUUGUUAAAUAAUAUUAUGUUGGAAUUUGCUGAAACCAAUGUAUGUAAUGAAGUCAUACAGACUAGAGUAAAUUAAAACAACAACAAAACAAAACUUUAGAAAGGAAAAACAUACAAAAAAGAUUGCUGAUGUUAGGCUGAACUCUCAGCCUGUUUCAGUACUAAUAUUGUUACCAUUCAUCGAGGACUUUCCAGACAGCUUUCUCUCUCUUUUGUGUUUAUAACUCCAACCAUUACGUUCUUAAUUCUCAUAUUCUUUGCUAAAAUUUUCCCUCUUAAAACUUUCUUAGGCCAUGCUAUUUCUGCUCAGAUUUGAGUCAGCAAAGCAGAACAUUUCCUGUCCUUGGAGGGAUGAAUCUAUACUGGAUAUUAGGAGCCUGUCAACACUAACAGGAUGCAGACCAGGAAGCUAUGGACAGCUAGAACAAGAGUGGUGAUGUUUUGGCAGAAUUGAAAUGAGAUGUUUGUACAUGGGACAGAAUAAAUACUGGAACUAAAAUAUUCUCCACAUAGCUAAAAUAAGGCUGCCAGCAAACUAGUUUGGUAGAUUUGGAAAUAAUCAGAAGCUUAGGAGAUUAAGAACUGAGAAUACAAAGAGUUACAUCCCGCAGUAGCACACCAUUGGCACUCUACAGGUAAAUCAAUGGUAAAAAGUCUGGAAUCUAGCAAAAAUGGAGCUAGAAUUAAUAUCGGUCAAUUAGAAUACAAAUGGACUUGAACUCCUACUGGAAUGCAAAGCAUUAUUCUCAGGGAGCUAACAGUGCAUAAUGACCAAAAUACAAGUAGGAACUCCCUGUAGUGUGGAUCUAAAUAUGACCAAAAGUAGUCACAAACGUGGUGUCAUCUAAUGUAUGGUGGCUCUGAAAGAUGUUCACCAUAAUAUUCACUAAACCAGAGAGGGUAUAAGCAAGAAUGAUUUAAUCUUAUCUAAUGAUUAGAGCACACACUGAAUAGUUCCUGCUCUCAUAAAAAUGUUGCUAUUUAUACUGACUGCACUGCUGGCAUCUGCACCUGCACAGUUCUAGUUCAAAUGGGCAGGUUGCUGUUGCAUUGCUCAUCUUCAGUUAACUUACAGUGACCCAUAUAAGAUUCUAAGCUCAAAACUUGUAGACUUAAACCUUCUAUUGAUCUGUAGAAAGGAAAAGACAUUAUUUUCCCCCCUAUGCAUAUGUAUACACAAUGCAUACAUAAUUACCAUUGGUUACCUGCAGAAACCAGUUCUCAAAGGGAGCUUACUUCAUUUUUUUUUUUGUUGUUUUUCAAAUCAGUGACAAUGAUCACAAUGAUUCAAUAUGAAAUUGAUUUUUAUACUGGAGAAACUGUCCUGAGACCAACAAUCUGACCAUUUCCAUAGCAGUUUAUAUCUGAAUCAAGUACCAUUUGGCAUUUCUCAGGUGUUUUCACAGAAAUGAAUUGCUAUGGAUGAAAAAAAAAGUAUUGGGAAAAGCAGGCUUUGUAUGUUUUAUGACCUGGCUAUAAUUCCAUUUCAAAUAUUAGAGACCAUUGCAUAGAAAGAGGAAAUCCUUAUAAAGGAACAAGGGUUAUAAGGGGAAUAAAUGUAGUGAUGUGAGUUUGAUCAAAUCAUUUUCUUUUGCUGAGAGUCUAAUUGGGUGAAAAAAUGAAACUAAAGGUCUACUGUUGCCCUUCAAGAAAUUCAUCUUGAGGUUGAAAUUCAUGCCUGAAUGCAGAGAAGCAAUUUUGAAAAGUCAGAUGUUUGAUUUAUUGUUCUGUGAAAGGUUGCGUAAAGCUUUUUGCUGAAGAUAUCAAAGUUAUACCGAAGCGUUCUGUAUGAUUAAGGGCAAUCAUGAUUCUCAAAGCCUCUUAGAAGAUGUAGAUGCUGUUUGGGCUUGUUCCUUAUUUACUGUAAAUUUCAUUUUUUUUUUCAGUCUGAGUAGACGGAACUUCUUAAAAGAAUUUGUUCAAGAUUUGCAUUACAGAUUCACACAGUCUGUACAGCUGUAGCACUGAUGCAGAUUUGCAGUAUAUGAUAUACGUGGAUUGCGCUGUCAUCUAUGAUAAUGUCAAAUCAAGCAAACAAGAUUUGAGAAUGCCAAAAUACAACACUGUUCAAUAAACUGUAACUGAUAAAAAAAAAGAAAAAACAGCCAAAAAGAGCCACUCGUUCACCAUUCUGCUCUAGGGCAGAAAGCUUGUAACACAGCUUGUAAAGUCUUAAAACAGCCCUGUGAUGUGAAAAAAAACACACAACAACAACAAGAGAACAACAAAAAAACAAGUUUGAGCAAAUGUUCGCUGCUUUACAGCAGUAAAUAUCAGAUGAAUGAAGGAUUCCAGUCAUUUAUUUCAAGACUAGGUUAUGCAGAAGGGUGGGUGGAUUUGCUUGUGAAUUCAUGAUGCAGUUCUCUGUGCUGUAAAUCACUGCAGCUCCAAUGACAUUUGGGAAAAGCAGGAUUUCUGGCCACAAACGUGACUUUAGAUGUGUGAUCACAGUGGCUUCAACUUUUAAAAUUAUAUAUAUAUUUCUACCCAAAAGUUCUUUGCCCCUUAUAUUGUGCCCUUCCUUGCUCAUGUUAUCUACAGCAUCAGAUGUUUUACAUCAGAACUUCCAGGCUCUUGCUAAUUAUUUCAGUUUCCGAUUUAAUGUGAUGCUUUUGUUUUAUUUUCAUGGCUUUCCAGAGAUAAAUCAAAAUGCAAUCACAAACCCUGGGGACUGAAGAAAUGCUUGGGCUGUGGGCUUACAGUGCCUAAUGUAGUCCCAUGUUUAUACACUGGCCAAGGAGCAUUUCUAUGGCAGACUCAGGGCCCCAAAAACCACUACAGCUACUCCCAAGUUUUUUCAAAAGAUUAUGAGGCUUAACACAAAUGGCAACAGAAGAAGACAUCAAUAAUGUAUUACUUGCAAUAUAUUCAUUUUUGAUUCACAAUGUACAUAUCAAUUAGAUAGAAGUCUGUAUAUCAAUUGAACCAUGAAUUAGUUGAACAGUAAAUUGUUACUACCGACUUAAUUAGCUUUCGGCAAAUAGUCUUUUCUUAAAAAGUUAGUAUCUGAUUCCUUUCACAGAUCCUAAAUAUGCAGCAAUGUUGACUGAAAAGAUAAAAGACAAUACAGAAGCCAGAAGGUUAUCUAGAUGAGAUACGGGGUGUGCUUAUUUAGAAAUUACUUUCCUUAAUCUUCUAAUGUAAAGCACACAGUACUCUGAUCAAAAAUUAGAUGGGAGAGGAAAAAAGGAGAGGCUGUUUGUAGACUGUAUUAGAUUAUAAGCCACAAGGAAUUUAUCUUUCCUAGAAGAGAGGAAUGCGGUGUAAAAUAAUACACAAACAUUCAGCUUAACAGUGAGAACUCUAUUCGCUGUAGCAGUAUUAUCGCAUUACUGUGUUAUGUUCUUAGCAAGCCAUACAAUUGAGAACCAAGUAAUGAACAGCAAUACGAUACUUACACUAUCACAUUUGUAAGACACAAAAAUGUCCUCAGAAUCUCUGUGGACUGAACGAAUUCAUGCAGGUUUCAACCACUGCAUCUGCUUUUUGGAGACUUUUACCUCUGGAUAUAAAUACAAAAGCUAAUGAGCAAUGCAAGGUUAUAAUGUGUAUUUUUAUGAAUAAAGACUGUAGUAGAUUUGAAGGCAAAAUCUGUAGCCAUUUAUUCCACCAUCAAAACUAUUUCAUACAGUACUUGGAUUUCCUAAAGAGAUUUCCCAUUCAAGUUCCCAUUCAGACCUUCUUUAACUUGACAAAGCUAUGCUGUAGGUGUGAGAAAGUUGGUCACACUUGGUUAAUUCCAUAAAGGAUAGCACUGAUGCAUGGAUAAAAUGCCAUGAUAACAAUAACUAUAUUAAAAAUUCAGGUCUCAUACAUUGCAAGUGGUUUGGGAAACAAAAAUUCUAGUGUCACUUCAGUGGAAAGGUGGCACUGAGACUCCUGAGUACUUACAAGUAAACACAGAAAGGAGAAGGCUGCAUUAGUAAGAACAAAGAUAGUAGAUUAAUUAUUAAAGGCCUUUAUUGCAUAAAAACAAGUUUUAAUUCACAGAAGAACAUUUUAACCUCAUUCCAAGUCUGGUAAAUCAAAUUAGAGGCUGCAGAUGGAAGCAAGUACUUAAGAAAAAAACCCAACCUUUUUCAUUGACAGUGUUUUCUGAAGUAUUGAUCCCACCCUGGCAAAAUGUUGGUUGCUACCAAAGCCAGUAAUUUGCAUUAUUCAUUUGAUAUAUUUGUCAAUAAUUUGAUGUGGAAAAUUUGAUUAAAGAAGAAGUGACAAGACAUCUGUUAACUUGAUUUUCUUUUUCAUGAAUGCUGAAAUCACCCUCCAAAAGCAGUUACUCAAUUAGGUAGCAGUGCUAAACUCAGCAAAAUUCUCAGUGUUAGUUGCCUUAUUAUACUGGCCAGCCUUGCUUUCUUCCAGAAUAAUUCCAGUUUUUACACAGUUGGCUUUAGCAUGAUCAUCACAUCCAACUUUAUCAGUAAAACACUAAAGUAUGUGUUCUAUCCCACGCAGAACUGGUGAAGCCUUAGUUAAUGCAUCUGCUUCAGCAGUGCACUCAAGGAAAUGUGGGCUAGCUGGAGAGAGGCCAAAGAAGGAGAGUGCCUGGCAAUUAGGAAACAUUGGAAACAUACAGGGAAUGACUGAAAAAAUAGGUGUUAUUUUGCAGGAAAAAAAAAAAAAAAAGAAUUUGAGGAGUGAAAAAAUAAUGAUUUUUCUUGCAAGAGGAAAAGAAAAAUCUGUCCAGUAUGCAAUUAAUUAACAGGCUUUAACAGUAAUGAGUGACAUUCAGAGUAAUUUAAGGUAAAUAUUGUUAAAAUGUUUCUUCUAAUAAAGCAAUCCAAUAUUCAAAAGAAUACUGCAGUAUACUACAAUACUUGAAUCUUUAAUACAUUAAACAAAUAUGAGCCCAAAAUGAUAUAUAUGCAUAGCUGAUCUUGCCUUGGGCCAUGGAGAAGGAGUACCUGAGCUCCUAUGACUCUCUCCUUUUCUCUUUCUUUGAGGUUAUCAAUAUUUACAAUAAAGUUUGUUCCUUCUAUAAAGGCUCCAAAGUCAGGCCCUAAAUCUGUCACGCUGAUGAUAAUCACGAUGAUAGAAACAUAACACCUGUAAUGCUGGAAUGUGAAAUUCCUUACCU